Sorghum bicolor (sorghum) is the source of this 108-nucleotide small nucleolar RNA. It matches the Rfam family "Plant small nucleolar RNA R71". Rfam says of the family: R71 is a member of the C/D box family of snoRNAs containing the C (UGAUGA) and D (CUGA) box motifs. NCBI's taxonomy places the organism in Eukaryota, Viridiplantae, Streptophyta, Magnoliopsida, Poales, Poaceae. The record is from Rfam.
AUUCCAUGAUGCGGGUAGUCUGAUAUGUAUCCUUGAAAACACUCCCAUACUUCUAGAAUAGGUUCACCUUUCUGCUGCUGGAAUUCUGAAAUCUUCCCUCAUAAGAUA